ACACAGCCCUCUUGGUUGAUGGAGCCUUCGUACAGAAAGAAAAGCUUAGCUCACUUCAGUUCUUGAAAUCUGGGAAAACAUAUCCGGUUUAAACCGGAUAUCCCCAACCUAUCGUAAAAGCAAGGUAAAGACUAUCAAACAACGUUUGGGACUGACGUAAAAAAAUUGGAAUAACCGGGUUAAAAAAGAUGGGUCGGUGUCCAAAGAGGACAGACCUACCUCCCAUUGCCACUCUGCACCAAUAUUACUUCAGUAUGAAUCAGAAUUUUUUACUAAAGGAAUUAAAAGCCUGAAGAGAAUACUCUUUAGUUAUCCAUCUUUGAAUCUGGCCUGAAGGAUGUACCAGCAACCAAAGGAACUAAAAAGACACGAGAACAUUCUACUAAGUUCACAAGCUCCAAAUGCUCUAAGGGAAACUUUAGAUAAUAAACAGAGAAGGUUUAGGAGUUGCAUGAUCAAGGGAAAUAGGACGAAGAUAGCACAAGCACAAGUCUGGGUUAGCGAAGAGAAAGAGCAACACAGGAAGGAAAUGUUUCCCAAGAAUCAAUACUUGUAGAUCCAAGGCUCUCAGACUCACCUUGAAUCUAUCUCUGAGACACACAACAACUCCAAAGAUUAUUCUCCAAGAAGCCUCCUUUUGCUAACUCAAAAGACUGACUCAUGAGCACGGUUCACCAAAUCCAAACACGUGUCAGAUGGAUUAUUAACCUAUUUUUGCAUUACCACCUAGAUUCUUCAAAGUCUUUUCGUAAAACUAUAUACAGAAACCCAAUCAAACAAAGCUAAAGCGUAUGGGAACAAUCAAUCACCAGAGAAGGGAACGAACGAACGAAGAAUCUAAAUCACGGAAACCUACAAAAAGAUAAAUUAAAAUCACACACUACGAAAUAGAUCACGAACUUUCGAUCAGGCGAAUCUCCUUCCACCGAUUCGAUAGUCUCAGAGAGAGAGAGAGACGCUGAUGAGUUCUCCGACGGUUACUCCAGGAGCUCCGAGCGAGAAGCGAUUCGAUCUUCCUUUCAGUUAAAGAAACUUAAUGAGGACACCUUCUUCCCCCCGCGUGUGGGGUUUAUAUACUGAAGGCUUGACUUUUUCCAGAUACUUCGAAUUAUUGCCGUUUUCCGGCGCAAGCGAAAAUAUUUGUUCCUUUAAUUAUUUUUUAUUUGCUUUUGUGUGUUGACAGCUAAAAUAUCUAACACCAUUCAUUUCCAUGAUUCCCCCCAAGUUUUAAUAUCUUACCUCAAAAUGAAUAAUGUGGAGAGAAAAAAAAUACAUUACACAUGUCGCCAGCUAUUUUUCCAAAUGUGUAAUAAUAUUUAGAUUUCCACAACUGGAAUCAAUUAGCACAAUCUUUUCAACAGUUAAUGAAAAGAUUGCAUUUUUCAUUCUCUGUUUUUUCCUGUUCGGGAACGCGCUAGGCGCUAAUCGAACGGUCGGGUUGGACCUAGCGCAUAAUGAGAAAAUCGAAAAAUAAUCGAAAAUUAUGCGGAGUAGGAUUUUUAUAUUGUUUACUAUGUUAUAAAAUAUGUUAAUCUUUAACUGUAUAUAAUAUUUAUACAAUUUCAUGCUUAAGAUUGUAUACAAAUAGAAUAUAAACUUAAUAUACUGUAAUUUUCAUCAAAAUUAUGAAUAUAAAUGAUAUUUAUAAAAUUUUAUAUCCAAUAAAUUAAUAAAAAUAUUAUUAAAAAUAAAAUAAAAUAAAAUAAUAAAAAAUAGAUUAAGCAGCCGCCUAGACGGCUAGGCGGUCGCCUAAACGGCUAGGCGGUCUAGACGGAGAAAAUCAGAUAUCCGAUUUUUUAAAUCCAUUUGACAUAAAUCGGGACGGAAGAAUGACGUUUAGCGCCCAGGCGACCGUCUAGGCAGCUAGGCCGUCCAUUUUUAAAACAUGGCUGUUUUUAGACGAAAAAAACGUUUUUAAAAUAAAAAUAUGUGAAUGAACUGAUAUUUUACAUUAUUGCGUGGGAAAGGUUACUUUACGUGUUGAACUUGAUUAACUUAUUGCGGAGAUGGGGAUGGUGACGUGGCUUCUGAAUGAUUGGAAAUCCUUUACAAGUUUGGAUUCUGAUUAGUUUACGUAUUUACAAUACAUUCCCCCUCAAGCUUAUCUUUUAUGAUGUAGACCCGUUAUCAACUCUUCUUGUCAAUCCUCUCCACUAAUACCAAUCACAUUUCCUUCUUUUUUUUUUUAACACAAUACCAAUCACAUUUCUUCCAUCUCAUUAAAAAAUAAGUAGAAUUCUAUAGUUUGGGUGGUAAAAACCGCAAUGUAUUUUAAAAUUAAUAGUGUUAUUUGUUUAAAUUUCGUGUGAUGUCCUAAUAUAAGUUUAGGAAUUCACACAAACGACUACUUGUAGUUUUGGUAUACUUACACAAUUUUCUUUGAGAAUUCGGUCAAAAAAAACCUUAACUUUGCACGAAUUACCAAAAGAAACAUGAACUUUUGGGCUGACCAAAAAAACACCAAACUUUCAUUGACUUUAGAAUUAAUUAACAAUGUUUUCGCUGACUUGCCAAUUUAGCACGCCGUCAACAAAUUUAACAAAAAUAUUUGACGUCGUUUAUGGUAGACAUUAAGUGAAACGACGUCGUUUUACAUGAUUUGAAAUUAAAAAUAUGUAGACCCCUGGAUUCGAACCCAGGUUGUUUGGUCAAAUGACAAGGUCUUUUACCACUAGGCUAGUGGAACUUUCAAUGUACUUACUAACAUGUUUACUUUUAUUUGGUACUGAUUGAUACUUUGCCAUUUGAUCAACCAACCUGGGUUCGAAUCCAUGGGUCUACAUAUUUUUAAUUUCAAAUCAUAUAAAACGACGUCGUUUCAUCUCAUUUGAAAACGACGUCGUUUCACUUAACGCCAACAAUAAACGAUGUCAAAUAUUUCUGUUAAAUUUGUUGACGGCGUGCUAAAUUGGCAAGUCAACGAAAACAUUGUUAAUUAAUUCUAAAGUCAAUGAAAAUUUGGUGUUUUUUUGGUCAGCUCAAAAGUUCAUGUUUUUUUUGGCAAUUCGUACAAAGUUGAGGUUUUUUUUGGCCGAAUUCUCAAUUUUCUUUGUAUAUUUGUAUUUGAAUUGUUAAAAAGGAACAUAUAUAUUUUCAAGUACUUUCUUAGAAAAGAUAGCGGACUUGCAAAUUAUUUAUCCUAUUUUAUAAGAAUUUGAAAUUAAAUAAGUAUAUAUUUUUUUUUUUGAAACACUAUAUGGUUUUUUGAAAUUAAAUAAGUGUUUCAAAAAAAAAUAAUAAUAAGUAUAUAGUUUAUAAAGAAUUUCUCAUUAUUUUUUUAUGCUUUACUCAAUGUUGGAAACAAAGCAUAUCAAAUAUCCUAUUGUUUAUUACUCACUAGGGGGUGUCCGCGCUUCGCGCGGAAUAUUGUUUUAUUAUUGCCAAGAGCAUGAUUUUUUUUUUGGAUAAUGUAAUUAUGUUAUCGUUUUUAUUUGUUAAGAUCAUUAUUUGAUGUUUUUAGUUUGUUAUGUAGUAGGUGAUAAGUUAAUAUAUUUUGCGUUUUUUUUUAAUAAUGUGUUGUUGUGUAUAUAGUACUUGUUAGUAGUCAAAUGAGCCUCCAACGUAAACUAAUAUUGAAUUUCAAUAACUUUGCAUCUACGCAUUUGUUGAUUCUAAGACUAACGGUUUCAUCGUCAAAAUUGUAUUAUAUUUUUUUCAUAUUUUUGAAAAUUAUAAUUUUUAAGAUGUUUUUUGCCCUCUCCCCAUAUUUUAAACUUGAGCCCUCACCGUCUAUGUAUUUCGUUAUAUUUCUGGUGUGCGGUGCUUCUCACAAUCACCGAAAAAGACUCACAUUUUUCUCUUGUUCUUCUUGCCUUCUUCACCUAUGAGAUUAUAUGGUAUUUGUUGCAGAUCGGGUUUAUGAGUUUUCAGUUGUUCGGUUGCUUCCCACGGCAUUGUAGGCUGUUCCAGUCAAUAUUGAUUGCUCCUCUUCUUCCUUAGAUUUCAGCUGAUGUUAGGAAGUGCAUCUCCUUGGUUGGGUCAGAGUUUAUUCGUCUUUGAUUUUGUAUUCCUCGUCGUUGGCUUACCGUCAAUAGUCUCUGCUCGUUUUGGUUUUCAAGAUCUAGUUUUUGGUGUUCUGACUUCUAUGCUCUCUUUCAUAGCGUGAGGACGGCUCCAUAGUUUUCUGAUUUCGCUCUGUCUCCCUUUCCCUCUUUAUUCUUGCAUCUCUUUGCAGCUUUCAUCGCAUCUCUGGUGGCUCUCCCUUUCACCAUGUUUGCCACUCGAGAUUUGGAUAAUGUUUUCGUUCGUGUAUGCUAUGUGGGCUUGGAAGGUUAUUUCUGGUCUCAAGUUUAGUCUCUGAUUUUUUGGUGGUUGUCUUCCAUUCUCCCUCUCUCAAGUUGUUUCUUUUCUUUCCAUGUUUUCCUUGGUAUAGGUGUGCGGAGUUAGUCUCUUGGAGCUUUGGUCCCCUCUAUGCAGAGCUUUGUGGUUUUUCAGUUGCAUGUCGUCUUGUAUGUUCUUGUUUAGUCUGUGAGGUGUUUCUUACUUUUUAGCUACUGGUUGUGAUUCCGGUGUUUUAGGCAUAUAUUUUUCUGUUUUUUGGUGGCUUUGGCCUUUCGAUUAUUAUUAUCCCUUUGGCCGGCUUUCUUAGUUUAUGUGUUGGUUGUCUAGUUUCUUAUUCUUAAUUUGAUUAUCUUAUGAUACUAAUAGUGAAAUACAUAUAAUUUGUAAAUGAAAUAAUAAAAAUUAGUAAAAGUAAUAAAAUGAUGAAAAGUCUUGCUAUUUUUAGGUGUGAAUAAAUUAAAUAUUUAAAAUAUAUUUAUAUUAUUUUAUUUAUUUCUUGAAUUUUAGAGACCAAUAAGUGUGAGAAGAAUUAGAUAAUACACAAUUAGAAAUUGAUGGAGAAAAUUGCAAUAAUUUAAAUGAAGAAGAAUUUAAAUACAAAAAAAACAUGAGGACACAUGUCAACAAACCCCCUUUCCACAUGUCAUAAGAAGAGAAAAAGCCAACUUAAUAUAUAUAGAUUGGUUUUUUUGUUACACUUGACUUGUUCAAACUAAAUAUCCGAUUUUAUGGAUGAAGUAGAGAUCAGAUAGCAAGGAUGGACGGGUAAUGAAAAAUUGUGCCCACUGCUAUGUAAAAUGGUACAAAUGAUGUUUUUGAGUAAAAUUUAUUUAUUUGGAUAAAUGGUUUAACUCAGUCGAUCUCAUGGACCGGUGGAUUUGAGAUUGGUUUAGGGGGAACCGGAGAGAGAUGUUCAAAUUCCCUGCCCUUUUUGUUCUGACAGAGAUACGCCCAGUCAGCCAUUUAUGAGUGGCCGGCCACGUCACCACACUAAUAACCGGGUCAAGGAUAAGAUAAUGACGUUUCCAAACAAGGCCCUACCGUGAUGCGACCUUCAAGUAAACGCUCGUUCUUUGCGAUUCCUCCGCUUACCAUAUAAAUACAUAAGAUAAGUCCAUUAUUGACAGUUACGAUCGUCUCUCUUCUCCAACGCUUCUGAUCUCCUCUUUCGUUUCUGGUAAGCUCGUUUUCUCUCCAUCGUUUCUGCUUCUCCGUUGACUACGAUUCUCGACGCGAUCGCAGCGGUGGCGCAUGUUCGUGUUCUCUUAGAUUUGAAUCAGUUUCCUUAGAUCAUACUUUUGCGAACGAAGAACGUUUCAGUUUCUGUGUAUGUAGUGCCUUGAUUUGUGCGAUCUUUGUUGAUGUGAUGAUAUAACUGAUCGCGUUUGAUCGAUCCAUGAUGCCAGAGGCUAGAGAAUAGUAGGUUCUCGGCGUAGAUUAGUGUUGAUCCAUACCUAAGGCGUGCGUUAACAAGAGAAAGCUGAUCUUACUAAUCUGUAACGAUGCCUUGUGAUCUUGGCCUACAUUGAUUUUGAUUGAUUGAUUGAUUGAUACCUAAGGGCGUUAACAAGAGAAGCUGAUCUUAUUAUAUCUGUAACGAUCAUCUCUUUAUGAUAUCAAUAUUGAUCUCUUGUGAAUUGUGAUCUUCUUGAUUAGUAUUUUGAGUUAGCAAUGAAGCCAGGAGGAUCAGGAUUGAAUCCAAACGCAGCAGCUUACGUACCAAUCUCCAAAAGAGACGGUGAUUCUGCAAAGCCUGCUGCUGCUGUCACACAUCCCUAUGCAGCUGAUGGUUAUGGAGUUCAAGGAAAGGGAAGUUAUCAAAUGUACAUGCCAAAGACGGCUACAUCCUCUGAGAAGAAGAUGAGUGAGGAAGAUUUGGAGAUGGACGUGGACAUUGAGUUUCUUUUAGCCACGUUCUCUGACUUGUCAUAUGAGUCUAUCAGUGAUGUGUACUUGGCCAACAAUGGUGAUCUGGAUGCAACUAUCGAAAUGCUGACUCAGCUCGAGGUGAUUCAUCUCACUAGUAGAUUUGAUUACACUAGUGUAGAUUGUAAAGCUUAAGCUUUGUUACAAUUGAUGUUCCAAUUUCUGCAGAUUUUCAGUAAUGAAGCCGAGGAGUACCUCCCAGACACACUGGACAUUGGCGAUGUACCUGAAACCAUCGAGCCUUCUACUUCAUCAGCUCCAAAGCAGACGAAUGCAAGUACAUCAACAUCCUCCCGUACCCCAAACGCUCCCUCCUCCUGAUUUGAUGAGUCUUUAAAAUGUGAGGAUUAAGAAAAAAACAUUCUUGCAAUGGAUGAUGAUGAUGAUAUGAGGUUGAUGGGUUAUCUUGGGAGAUCUCUUUACUAUGUUUUCCUUCCCCGCUGCUUUGUUACAUUGGAGAAAAAGAGAGAGUACAAUGUAUAGAUUUUUGAAAAUAUCAAGUGUGAGUGUUGAGAAUUGGGAUUGUUCUUAUGGUGGACAAAGCUAUGAAUCAUUAGCCACUGAUGAUGCUAUUUUGGCCAUUUUGAGUCUUUUCUCUUCUUUUGCUCAUUGCGCUGCUCAGUAUUUUUGCAUCUUCUCUUCACCACAUGUAUGACUUAUGGAAUUGAUUUUGUUCUUUGGUAUAUUUCUAAUGUUUACAUCCAUUAACUAUAUCUUGACAAUGUUUAAUGUUGUAUAGUAUUUUUUUCUCCCAUUAAUUCAAGAUUUUAUUAAGUUGUUAAAAGAUGGAAUCUCAACAUUGUUUGUGGGUCUGUAACAAUUAAAUGAAUAAACGUGCAGCUACAUUUGCGGCCCUCUUCUCUCUCUCUAAGUAUUAUUAUUAGAAUCAUCUAAAAAUACCUCCAUAUACUUGCUCGAUUUGGUUUCUUCUUCUUUCUUUUUCUCCUUUUUCAUCAUUCAUUUGGUGAUGCUGGAGAUCUGAUUCUUUUCUUCUGGUUUUUAGUUUUCGAGGAAGAAGAAAUUCAAAAUAAUAAUAAUAAAAAAGAUGGGUUUGGAUUAUUACACCAUAUUGAAGGUUGACAAGAAUGCAACGGAGGAUGAUCUCAAGAAAUCUUACCGAAAAUUGGCUAUGAAAUGGCAUCCUGAUAAAAACCCUACCACCAAAACCGAAGCUGAAGCCAAAUUCAAACAGAUCUCUGAGGCUUAUGAGGUAACUCCUUUUCUCGUUCCUAAUCUUGAUUCCCUUAGAUCCCAAAAUAUCCAAAACUGUGUGUGGAUAUGUCUUGCUGAGAUCCAUUCCUUUGACUAAUAAUGAGUUUCUUGGGACACAUGCAAAAUGUACCUCCUCAAAGCCUAUUUUCUGAGGCAAUGUUUCAUUUGUGGGAAAACAUUUCAGGUUCUGAGUGAUCCUCAGAAGCGAGCAGUAUAUGAUCAAUACGGUGAAGAAGGGUUGAGCGGUAUGCCGCCUCCCGGGAGCACAGGAAACAAUGGAAGAGCAGGCGGUUUCAACCCUAGAGAUGCAGAGGACAUAUUCGCAGAGUUCUUUGGAAGCAGUCCAUUUGGUUUUGGUUCAGCUGGUGGUGGUCCUGGAAGGUCAACAAGAUUCCAAUCAGACGGAGGAGGAAUGUUCGGCGGAAACAACGGUAGUGAGAACAUGUUCAGGACUUACAGCGACGGCACUGUGCCUAAGAAACCACCACCCGUUGAGAGCAAGUUGCCUUGUAGCCUUGAAGAGUUGUACACUGGAUCGACAAGGAAAAUGAAGAUCUCUAGAACCAUUGUUGACGCUAACGGGUAAUCCUUGUUUCCAUAUUUUGGAGGUUAUAGAUAUUUAAUAAGAAUUUUAGUAAAAAUAAACAAUUAUAAAUUAUUUUAGAAAAAUUGAGGACCAAUGCCAAUGUUUUACUGGACUGUGUCCGGGCCAUGGAGUCUCUCAUUAGUGUGUUGUUUGGAUGGUGAAACAGGAGACAAGCGCAAGAGACAGAGGUUCUAACCAUUGUUGUGAAACCAGGAUGGAAGAAAGGGACCAAGGUCAAGUUUCCAGACAAAGGAAACGAGCAAGUGAAUCAGUUACCAGCUGAUUUGGUGUUUGUGAUAGACGAGAAGCCGCAUGAUUUGUUCAAGAGAGAUGGGAAUGAUCUCAUCACAAGCGCGAAAGUGACGCUUGCGGAAGCUAUAGGAGGAACAACUGUGAGUAUCAAGACGCUUGAUGGGAGGAAUCUACCUGUUGGUGUCACGGAGAUAGUCACUCCAGGGUAUGAGCUUGUGGUUCCUGGAGAAGGGAUGCCGAUAGCUAAAGAAAAAGGAAACAGAGGUGAUUUAAAGAUCAAGUUUGAUGUUCAGUUUCCGACAAGGCUGUCAACGGACCAGAAGUCUGCGCUCAAAAGGGUCUUAGUGGGUUGAAGAGUUGAGAUUUGGAAUCCUCUCAAUGCUCUUGCAGUCAUGGUGAUGGUACCUUCCUUUGUUUUUUUUGUUGUUCAUUAGUUCUUUCUGUGAAGACUUUGUAGCAUGUUCUUGAUGUGUCUUAAAAACAGUCUGUACAAAUCUUUGAUUGUGUUUGUUGCAUACUAUUAAACUUUAAACUCUUGUUCUUAAAUAUUCCGUUACUCAAAGGUUUACAAUUCUAUUAGCAUGCUACAGUAAAUAGAAGUCAAUAAACCUAACAAAAACAUACUAUAAUAUUAGAGAAAGGAACAAAGAGAUAUCCUCUGGCUCAAAUAUUAAUGACAUAAGUAGAGACAUAUGUUUCCACAUUCGAUAAGUUCAUGUUGCCACACAUGGAAGCCAUGGGGACUCAUCUUCUUUAAUGUCUGAAAAUGGCAUAUGGUGAAUAGGAGUUUCCUCCAUAUAGGUACAGAGAUACUCUGCUCCCAUAUUAAUGGACAUGAUACACCACAACUGUAUGCAACAUUCACUUAAAAAUCUUCAUGGCAACAGAUGGAUAGAGUUUUGUGGUUAAUCUUUCAACUGUUAAGCAAAGGAGGAGAAAUAUACUUGUGGUUAACGUGGAUUCCACGGCACACGCCGAUUAAAUAAAACGGCCUAAUUCAAAUAAACAAGGCCCAAACUGAAUACGAGCUUUGAUAAUAAACGGGCCUUGGCAUUUACUUAGGAUACCUCAUUAAUGAAUCCAACGGUUGUAAUCACGUGUCAGUGUCUUUACCAGACGGACGCUAUAAUUGCAUGCGAGUUGUUAAUUAAUAUUAUUACCAGAAAACAAAACCGCUGUUUUCUUCGAUAAAAUCAAAAAACUAAAUUGCCCAGAAAAUACCAUCAUUUCUCUCAGCAAUCGAGAAAGUAAAAAAAAAACAAUCAAUCAACACACUGUUCCUUCUCCUUCUCGAUCCAAACUCUUGUUUUAAUUAUUCUCUCUCGUAUUUUUUUUUAAAAAAAAAUCGAAACUACUGUUUCCUUUCACCUCCCAGAUUUGCUUUUUUCAAAUUUCCUCUCUAGAUUUCAGAAAACUUUCCUCUUUUGUUUAAUCAAUCUUAAGAGUCUCUACUCUCUCUCUCUCUAGACUCUAGGAAUGUUCGUGGUUACUGGAAUCAUGAGAUGAAGAUUUGAAGAGAAAGCAAGUAAUCAUUAGGGUUUCCGAAUCACCAAAAGUGUCAACCUUUUGUUCCGGAUCUGUGGUUCUGUCGGGGGUGAAGAAUGUUCUGUCCUAACACAACAUUUUGAUCUCUCUCUCUCUCUCUCUCUCUCUCUUUCGAUUUCCAUCACUAUGUUCAAGCAGUUUCUCAGUAAGCUUCCUCGGAAGUCCUCAAAACCCGACUCCACCUCGGAUCCAUCCGGAUCCAGCGUUGUCAGAUCCAACUCCGUCAAACGCAUGUCCUCCGCCGUCUUCCCCUCCAGCGUCGUCGCCGGAAUCGAGCCUUUGGUACCCUUCAAAGACGUCCCGACCUCCGAGAAGCUAAACCUUUUCGUCUCCAAACUCAGCCUCUGCUGCGUAACCUUCGACUUCUCCGACCAAACCAAGAACUCAAUCGAGAAAGACGUGAAAAGACAGACUCUCCUCGAGCUCCUCGACUUCGUAUCCUCCUCCUCCUCCUCCUCCGUUAGGUUCACCGAGCCGGCCAUCCUCGCGAUGUGCAAGAUGUCCGCCGUUAACCUCUUCAGAGUCUUCCCUCCGAGCUACCGAGAGAGAAACGAUAGUGACGAUAACGAUCCCACGUUCGAACCUGCUUGGCCUCACCUGCAGAUCGUUUACGAUCUGCUCCUUAAGUUCAUCACGUCUCCUUGCCUCGACGCUAAGGUAGCUAAAAAGUAUCUAGACCACGGGUUUAUCUUAAGGCUCCUCGAGUUGUUCGACUCCGAGGAUCCGAGAGAACGAGAGUGUUUAAAGACGAUACUCCACCGUGUCUACGGGAAGUUCAUGGUUCACAGACCUUUUAUCCGCAAAGCAAUGAGUAAUAUCUUCUACAGCUUCGUCUUCGAGGCCGAGAAGCGCGGCGGCGGCGGAGGAAUCGCCGAGCUUCUCGAGAUUUUCGGGAGCAUUGUGAGCGGUUUCGCGCUGCCUCUCAAAGAGGAGCAUAAGAUCUUCCUGUGGAGGGUGUUGAUUCCGUUGCACAAGGCCAAAUCCGUUGGGGGGUAUUUCCACCAGCUGUCUUAUUGUGUGACUCAGUUUAUAGAUAAGGAGCCGAAGCUUGGGAGCGUUGUGAUCAAAGGUUUGUUGAAGUUUUGGCCUGUGACGAAUAGUCAGAAGGAGGUUAUGUUUCUUGGGGAGGUUGAGGAGAUUGUGGAGGUGAUGAGUUUGGUGGAGUUUCAGAAGGUGAUGGUUCCUUUGUUCUUGAGGAUUGCUUGUUGUGUUAACAGUUGUCACUUUCAGGUAGGUUUCUUGCUUUCUUUUUAAGAGAUAUUGUUAGAUCUCAAUCAGGGCCGUCUAAAAUUAUAUUUUAGACCUUGUUUAAAAAAAAUAUUAACGGUAUAUUUAACUACUAAGUUUAAAAAGUAAAUAGACGUUUUUUUGGAAAUUAUAAGCUCUAAAUUUAGCUUUUUGAUCAAAAAUUUUGAAGUUUUAAACCAUAAUUUAAAAAAAUAUUAACGGUAUAAUUAACUAAGUUUUAAAAGUUAACAGACGUUUUUUUUUGAAAUUAUAAACUCUAAAUUUAGCUUUUUUUGAUUAAAUUUUUUGAAGUUUUAGACCAUAAUUUAUGUAUAUAUUUUUGAAAAUUUAUUUUAUUUUUAGAUACCGCUCCACUUAGAUGGCCUUGGUCUCAAUUUUGAAACUUGAACCGUUUGUGUUUUUCUUGUGGUUUAGGUUUCUGAGAGAGCUUUGUUCUUGUGGAACAACGAUCAGGUUGUGAAUUUGAUUGCACAGAACAGGCAAGCCAUCUUGCCAAUCAUGUUCACUGCCUUGGAGAAGAAUGCUGAGAGCCACUGGAACCAAUCUGUGCUGAACUUAACUCUAAACGUGAGGAAAAUGUUCUGUGAGAUGGACGAGGCUUUGUUCAUGUCUUGCCACGCGCGGUUUCAGGAGGACGAAGCAGAGCAAUGCUCUGCGGAGGAGAAGAGGAAAGAAACAUGGGCGAGGCUAGAGAAGGUGGCAAGUAUGAAGCCUGUAACUGGAAAGACAGCUGUUCUGGUAACUCCUUUAGCAACCUCUAUUGCCUGCUAAAUGAAGAUGAUGGAAUGGUUGUUGGUUAAGCUAUGGUCUGGAUUUGAUCUUUGUAAUGUUAUAUAGUUUUGAUGUUGUUAGCUUAUGUGGGUUUUAUGCUAAAUCUCUUGCUUUAAAAGUGAGGAAGCCUUGAAACCAUGCUGCAGAUUUCUAUAUGAAACUCUUUGUAUUCAAUUAAGUUUAUAUAAGAAGUCAUUUUCAACAAUGUGUUAUGUGUGUGUAUAUGAGGUACAUAGAGUCUUGCUACAGAAACAAAAACAUAGUUAUUGUCUUCAUUGUAGGCAUGCACUCGGGUUCGGAUAAUUCGGUUUGGUUCUAACAUAAAUCUUACCAAAUUUGAAAUAAAGUUUGGUUCGGUAUUCGAUUUUCAAAAAUUUAAUUUUUUUUUAUUUUGGUUAUAUUUUGAUUUAAUUUUGUUAAAAUUUCAGAUAAGUUUGGUUAAAUUCAAUUAGUUCAAUUAUUACGGUUUGAAAUGUGGCCAAUUCGGUUCAAAUUUUGGCAUAAUUUGGUCGUAAUUUUUUUUUUCAAAGAAAACCAAAGUAACAACCACUUACCAAAUCGAAAACUGAACAUUUUUUAAUAAAAACCACCAAUUCUAUUUGCUAAAGAAACAAAAACAUAGUUUUUAGUCUCUUCUUCACAAAACUUCAUAGAUUAAGGUCAUGUAGGAAGAACGUUUUCCCACGAUAUGUUAUGGUCUUUUCUUCACCUCCAAGGCACCACAAAUGCCCUUGCAGGUCAAGACUCUCCUUCAUCCCAGCCGUUUCCCACACAAAUUCAAAUAGCCCCAAGGCUCUAUCCAACUGCUUGAUCCCUCUCCCCAACAUCUUCUCAUCCCCUGAGGUCAAUACCCUCCCCAUGCUUAAGCUAAAAACCCCACUCUUCUCCUCCUUGUGAAACCCUCCACAGAGAUCAACUUCAAUGUCACGCACACGUCCGUAGAGAAAAUACACGAGGAGAGUGAACAAACACGGAGAAGGACUCCCCAACAUCUUCGAAAGCUUUCUGUAGACAAGGUGCUCUUGAUGCCUAACCUCUCUGAACCCAAUAGUGUUGUCCAGAAACACGUCUUUGAUCUGUAGAAGCCCUUCUUUCAUCGACAAAAGCUUCUCCAUAUGGUAAAAGUCAUGCUCUUCGAGGUACCUUCUCAGAUCGUUCACCAUGUCGAGAACAUCUUCCCACUUCGCAGAAGCGUUUGCCUUCGCGUAUCUACCUGGCACGGGACGCAUCCAUGAAGUCGAGCUCUCGUCUUCGAACGAAACCGAUGAUUCAGACAAGAACUUGAGGCAAGACAAGAUCACUUGCUGUCCUAACUUCGUCCCUUGCCUUGUUGUCUCGCUAUGUUCAACUUCUUCUUGGAGACCAUUCAGUAUAUCUUCGAGCGCACCUCUCCAGAUACGGUACUGGGUCACCUGUGAACACACCGUGGACCUCACUAGCUUCCUCUGUUGGGCCGUGAUGUCAAGAAAGUUGCAAACUUUGGUUAAUGAGUUCACCAACAAUGGCUCUCUUUCGGUUUCGGUGUUGAAGCGUCCGUGUUCUUUGAGCUUCUGCUGAAGUGAAGGUGACCCAACGAAGAUUCUAGCUAGAGAUUUGAAGGCUUGCAUCUUCUGUUUGAUGUGAUCAUCGUAGAUGAUGACGCCGUUGAUGUCUUCGAGCUUCCCGUCUACUAAAUCAAAGUCUUUUAGUGAACGGGUGAGUUUGGUUAGAAGUGGGAGUUUCUUUGAGUACCAUUCAAAUGGUAAUGAUUCUUUGUAGGAAUCAACAUGGAUUGAACGGAGGAAGCGACUUGGGUUAGCCCUUACGGUACCCAACAUUUGAAACAGCUACGAGCUAAUAUUCAGACAUUAAGUGAAUAAAUCAGACAAGAAAUGUCAAACUCUCUCUCUCUCUGUCUCUCUCUUGGGAAUUUCUACGAACAGUUUGUGUGCAACUCUUGAAGACGGGAAAAAUCUAAGAGACUCAUCAACAUGUAGGAUUUUCUAACUAGACAUUAAAGUUGUAGUGCAAGAGCAUCUGUAGCGUGAAAGAGAAGUGAAGCGAUUUGGGAGAAGAGAAGAGAAGCUUCAGAUGAGUAGAUAUGGCAAUGUCUGUGAGAGAGGAGAUGAGAAGUUGGAAAGCGAAGAGAGCAGGUUUUGGGUUUGGAUCAUUAAUGGGCCGAAGAAAUAAUAAUUUAAAAAGGCCCAAGAGCUAGUAUUAUUACGGUAUAUUUUUCUUUUUGUUUUACGUACUAAAACGUUUCUAAUAUGUUUUUUUUAUUAACCAAGAAACUGUAAAGUUUCCUCAUAAAAAUUGUAGAAUUUUCAUAUAUAUGUUUGUUAGUAAUACUGUAUAUGUAAUUAAAUCAUUUUUUUUUGUCCAAUUGCACCACCAUGCUUUCCAAAAACCAAGGUAUUACAGUUUCUAAUUUUGUAAUUCUUAAACCAGGGAAAUGGUCUUUUAAUUAUCUUUACUUUUGCUCGUAACAUUCUUAACUUUCCCACGAAAAUCAGAAUUUUGAAAUAUCCAGUUAACUGUUAAGCCUCUCUGUUGUCUCCUAAGCAUUACUCUGUGAGUCUAUCUUCCCCCUCCAACGGAUUUUCAGUUUAUUAAAUGAAAUUUCUGAAUGUUGUGAAGAAUAUAUAGUAUUGAUAUCUUUUAUCAAAAAGGAGAUAUAGUAUUUGAUCAUGUUUAUGUCUUUUUAUAUGAAGAUUUACGAUUUCUGAGUCCGAUUCCUCUUGACUCGUGCGGAUGCCUCUAUUGUUUUUAGUAGAAUUAUACCAUACAUAUUAUUUUUUUUGAUAAUCAAUUAUACCAUACAUAUUACAUACGGCCUUUAAAAGGAAAAAGCGUUUUCAUCCAAAUUAUUGAGAAUGCAUGGUCCUUCCAUGACAACUGCAUACUUUGCAUAAAGAUAUAUAUAAAUCAUUAGGAAGAAUGUGACAAAAAACAAAAGAAAGAGAAGCGAAGAAAGAAGGGCUUAUAAAGAUGAAUAUGCUUUCUUUUAUGUGGGUUAAAGAAAAAUUUUAUGCUUUCUUUUAUGUUUUAAAAACUUUUUCUUAAAGUUGCUGCAAUUUUCUAAAAAUUUACCAAUCUAUUAAUGUUUUUCUUUAACUGUUUUGUAAUGAUAAAUUGUUUUUAUUAUUGUUUUCAAGGGUAUUUGUAAAAUGGAUAAAAGGUCUUCUUUGAUGUUGCUUUUUGCUACAAAAAUUGACUUUAACAGUAUGAAUUCUUGUUUACUUCUUCCGUUUCUCAAUAAAUAUCAUUUUGACACUAUUCACACAGACUAAUAAAGUAGCGGAAAUAUAUGUAAAUUGUUACUAUCUCUGUUCCCGAAAGUAAGAUUUUCUAAAGUGUUCACGCUUAUUAAGAAUUCAAUAAAUGUUUAUAAUUUAUUUUUUCUUUUACUUUAUUAUACACUUUUCAAUAACUUUUCACCAAUGAAAUUUAAUCAAUUCAAAUAUUUUCAUUUAAUGUUUCUUAAAAGCAUAAAAAGUACCUUAAACAUAUAGAAAAUCUAUAUUUGUGAAACAAGUAAAAAAUCUAAAACAUCUUACUUUGGAGAACGGAUGAAGUAUUAAUUAAAUCUUUCCGACCAAUAGUAUUUGAGAUAAGUAAAAUUAUUUAUAAAACCAAUGCAGUUUGCAAUUAAUUUUCAGCUGAAAUUAAGUAUAAUUUGCAUUGUAAUUGUAAAGUGAAUUUUUUUAUGUAACAAAAAAAAGAUAGAAUGACACUUAUUAUGAAACAGAGAGUAUAUAACAACUGAUUUACACUUUUACUUAGAAUGGUUAUCGAGAAAAACGAAACACUAAGUGCUUAGUUUAUGUAUGUAAGUUAGUUACUCCCCUAAUUUAUGUUUAGUUAACAUGGAUUAUGAAACUGAAACUAUGAUUAAAGCUAUGUGAAAACAUAUAUGCACACAUCUAGUCUGACUCUUCCAAAUCGAAAAAGAUGUUUCAUCUGUAUUCUUCGAAAAAACUUAUAAAGCAGUGACUUAAUAUGACAAUAAUAUGUAAUUUAGUGACUGAUUAAUUAGGAAUAUCGGAGUAAUUGUAAAAUUACGUACUUAGCUAAGUUGUAUAAUAUGACUAUGCUAGUUAUAAUAAAAUGUGUUUUUACUAGCUAGCAUAGUCAUAUUCAUACAACUUGACUAAGUUAUAUGCAAUACUGUAUUCGAUUAAUACAAAUAAAACAGAUUUACUAUUAAGGAAUAGACCCUUUUUCUUGUCUAUAAUGCAUACGUAUGUUAUAUGUCUUAUCUAAGUUCAUUUGGUGAUAUAAUAACAUCGAACUUGGUCGAGCCUGUCUUAAGAAUGCUGUUUACUACAAAUCAACGGGUUCAAAUAGCAACGCAUGACAUGAAUGCAAUGCAUCUUAAUCGAAUAUAAUUGAUAUGGGUUUGGAAUUCAAAGUGGGAAUGAUGCAUACCUAAGACGUACUUUCACUUCACUAAAACCAAAGAAGAAUAAAAUGAUGAAUUAACUUAAAAGUGGGGAAAAAACGAAAGAUUCUUUAGUAAAAGCCAAUUAGUGCAACCCUUUAACAAAAAAGCCAGGCAAUGGAUUGUAGUAGCAGACAUUAAAGACGGGUUAUCUUCUUUUUUGACCAUUUGAUGAUAAUCUUAACUACACAACUCUACCAGGUCAAAUGACGACUGAAGAAUCCUAUGCAAAAUGCAACGUGUCUGUAGACACGUACCCACGCUUAUACUCACUAGAAUGAAUGGUGAGUAACAAACAAAUCUUCAUGUAAGGGAACAGUAUAAAAAUGCUCUGCCGCGAAACAUCCAUUUGUGACAUAAAUUCCAAAACGAACUCGGUGAGCUUGUCAUUCAGGUAUUUAGUGACAACAUAAUUAUUAUUCUCUGGUAACUAUUCAUAUUCUUAAAGAAAGGAACUCAAGAUAUUUUUCUUUUCAAUGUGGUGGUCAACUCAUCAUACCUAUAAUAAUAUAUGCUUCAGUUUAUCCCCCGUUGAAAAUUUCAAAUCUCAUGGUUAUUCACUCUCUUUUUGAGCCAUUGGAUUUUGAUGUGGUCCAUGCAUGCAUCUACUCAUUUCAAACACUUUUUCUUACUCAUUUCAAACACUUUUUCUUACUCAUUUCAAAUACUUGCUAGAAUUGUUGUUUGGUUUGACGUAAGAAUCUCUAUCCCUAGCUAUACUAAAGUUUAUAUAAGAUUAAUUGCAUCAUAUGAUUUGCAUACAAUUUGGAUUUGCUGUCGCAAAUCUCAUCGUCUUGUACGGUCAACAACUCAAGUGCUUCAAACUUAGAUGAGAAUCGACAUUGCGGGAUAAGAGAGUAAUAGUUUAUCAAAAAUAAGGAUGCAUUGAUUAAAACAAACGUACACAGUAGGAGAUCGAUAUCAGAAGUCAGAACAAAGAACUUCCGAUUUUUCUUAUUAGCUUAUAGUCUAAACAUAACCAGACAAAGGUCCUACGAAAUACGAAACGAGUCAAAUCGAGAAAGAAAAACACAAAUAACGACAAACAGGGUCGUUAUCUUGCUUCCAUUCUUCAGUAGUUUUAUCUCUUCUAGUGCAGGCUGCAUAAAAAAGCCAAAGUAUAUGUUAAAUACUGUUUCAAUCAUGAGGUCUCACGUUUUAAAAUUUAAAAUGAAAACUUGUAUUCACGUAAUAAAUUUAGACCCAAUAUACAUGGGGCACGAAACAAUAACUUAUUUUGCAUAUGUUCUGGAUUGGGUCUGGUUAGUUUCUAUAUAUGCCACCUUUUGUCAACGUAUAUAUAGCACACUAGCAUAUAAACCAUGAGAGAUUGUUGUGGCUUGAGAGUAAACUUUUGGAAUUAUUAGAAAUGAAAUUUAUUGAAGAAAUAACAAAUAACCAAAUUUACUUGAUCAAGAUGAUGAAGAAAGUUAGGUCUAGUAGGGUGGAUUGGUGGCAGGUUCCUUUGGGGCGUUGCACCUGAAACACUCUGACCUGCUUGCGAAGUUAUGUUCAUUGCAGCCUGACCUAUACAUACAAAACCAAUCAGCUUCUACAAUCUUCUUAUACAUAUACAAACAUGAAUGAAUAUAAAUACUAAUAUUCUAAAAUUGUCCUCUUAGCUUACGAAGCCUGCGCGCGCAUGAAUUUAUGUAUAUAUAUUAUUACAUGGUGGAGACGCCCAUGUACAUUUUCAUGAACCAUGCACAUGAAACAAACAAAUACAAAAAAAAAAAAAAACUUCUGCUGAAGUGAAGGUGACCCAACGAAGAUUCUAGCUAGAGAUUUGAAGGCUUGCAUCUUCUGUUUGAUGUGAUCAUCGUAGAUGAUGACGCCGUUGAUGUCUUCGAGCUUCCCGUCUACUAAAUCAAAGUCUUUUAGUGAACGGGUGAGUUUGGUUAGAAGUGGGAGUUUCUUUGAGUACCAUUCAAAUGGUAAUGAUUCUUUGUAGGAAUCAACAUGGAUUGAACGGAGGAAGCGACUUGGGUUAGCCCUUACGGUACCCAACAUUUGAAACAGCUACGAGCUAAUAUUCAGACAUUAAGUGAAUAAAUCAGACAAGAAAUGUCAAACUCUCUCUCUCUCUGUCUCUCUCUUGGGAAUUUCUACGAACAGUUUGUGUGCAACUCUUGAAGACGGGAAAAAUCUAAGAGACUCAUCAACAUGUAGGAUUUUCUAACUAGACAUUAAAGUUGUAGUGCAAGAGCAUCUGUAGCGUGAAAGAGAAGUGAAGCGAUUUGGGAGAAGAGAAGAGAAGCUUCAGAUGAGUAGAUAUGGCAAUGUCUGUGAGAGAGGAGAUGAGAAGUUGGAAAGCGAAGAGAGCAGGUUUUGGGUUUGGAUCAUUAAUGGGCCGAAGAAAUAAUAAUUUAAAAAGGCCCAAGAGCUAGUAUUAUUACGGUAUAUUUUUCUUUUUGUUUUACGUACUAAAACGUUUCUAAUAUGUUUUUUUUAUUAACCAAGAAACUGUAAAGUUUCCUCAUAAAAAUUGUAGAAUUUUCAUAUAUAUGUUUGUUAGUAAUACUGUAUAUGUAAUUAAAUCAUUUUUUUUUGUCCAAUUGCACCACCAUGCUUUCCAAAAACCAAGGUAUUACAGUUUCUAAUUUUGUAAUUCUUAAACCAGGGAAAUGGUCUUUUAAUUAUCUUUACUUUUGCUCGUAACAUUCUUAACUUUCCCACGAAAAUCAGAAUUUUGAAAUAUCCAGUUAACUGUUAAGCCUCUCUGUUGUCUCCUAAGCAUUACUCUGUGAGUCUAUCUUCCCCCUCCAACGGAUUUUCAGUUUAUUAAAUGAAAUUUCUGAAUGUUGUGAAGAAUAUAUAGUAUUGAUAUCUUUUAUCAAAAAGGAGAUAUAGUAUUUGAUCAUGUUUAUGUCUUUUUAUAUGAAGAUUUACGAUUUCUGAGUCCGAUUCCUCUUGACUCGUGCGGAUGCCUCUAUUGUUUUUAGUAGAAUUAUACCAUACAUAUUAUUUUUUUUGAUAAUCAAUUAUACCAUACAUAUUACAUACGGCCUUUAAAAGGAAAAAGCGUUUUCAUCCAAAUUAUUGAGAAUGCAUGGUCCUUCCAUGACAACUGCAUACUUUGCAUAAAGAUAUAUAUAAAUCAUUAGGAAGAAUGUGACAAAAAACAAAAGAAAGAGAAGCGAAGAAAGAAGGGCUUAUAAAGAUGAAUAUGCUUUCUUUUAUGUGGGUUAAAGAAAAAUUUUAUGCUUUCUUUUAUGUUUUAAAAACUUUUUCUUAAAGUUGCUGCAAUUUUCUAAAAAUUUACCAAUCUAUUAAUGUUUUUCUUUAACUGUUUUGUAAUGAUAAAUUGUUUUUAUUAUUGUUUUCAAGGGUAUUUGUAAAAUGGAUAAAAGGUCUUCUUUGAUGUUGCUUUUUGCUACAAAAAUUGACUUUAACAGUAUGAAUUCUUGUUUACUUCUUCCGUUUCUCAAUAAAUAUCAUUUUGACACUAUUCACACAGACUAAUAAAGUAGCGGAAAUAUAUGUAAAUUGUUACUAUCUCUGUUCCCGAAAGUAAGAUUUUCUAAAGUGUUCACGCUUAUUAAGAAUUCAAUAAAUGUUUAUAAUUUAUUUUUUCUUUUACUUUAUUAUACACUUUUCAAUAACUUUUCACCAAUGAAAUUUAAUCAAUUCAAAUAUUUUCAUUUAAUGUUUCUUAAAAGCAUAAAAAGUACCUUAAACAUAUAGAAAAUCUAUAUUUGUGAAACAAGUAAAAAAUCUAAAACAUCUUACUUUGGAGAACGGAUGAAGUAUUAAUUAAAUCUUUCCGACCAAUAGUAUUUGAGAUAAGUAAAAUUAUUUAUAAAACCAAUGCAGUUUGCAAUUAAUUUUCAGCUGAAAUUAAGUAUAAUUUGCAUUGUAAUUGUAAAGUGAAUUUUUUUAUGUAACAAAAAAAAGAUAGAAUGACACUUAUUAUGAAACAGAGAGUAUAUAACAACUGAUUUACACUUUUACUUAGAAUGGUUAUCGAGAAAAACGAAACACUAAGUGCUUAGUUUAUGUAUGUAAGUUAGUUACUCCCCUAAUUUAUGUUUAGUUAACAUGGAUUAUGAAACUGAAACUAUGAUUAAAGCUAUGUGAAAACAUAUAUGCACACAUCUAGUCUGACUCUUCCAAAUCGAAAAAGAUGUUUCAUCUGUAUUCUUCGAAAAAACUUAUAAAGCAGUGACUUAAUAUGACAAUAAUAUGUAAUUUAGUGACUGAUUAAUUAGGAAUAUCGGAGUAAUUGUAAAAUUACGUACUUAGCUAAGUUGUAUAAUAUGACUAUGCUAGUUAUAAUAAAAUGUGUUUUUACUAGCUAGCAUAGUCAUAUUCAUACAACUUGACUAAGUUAUAUGCAAUACUGUAUUCGAUUAAUACAAAUAAAACAGAUUUACUAUUAAGGAAUAGACCCUUUUUCUUGUCUAUAAUGCAUACGUAUGUUAUAUGUCUUAUCUAAGUUCAUUUGGUGAUAUAAUAACAUCGAACUUGGUCGAGCCUGUCUUAAGAAUGCUGUUUACUACAAAUCAACGGGUUCAAAUAGCAACGCAUGACAUGAAUGCAAUGCAUCUUAAUCGAAUAUAAUUGAUAUGGGUUUGGAAUUCAAAGUGGGAAUGAUGCAUACCUAAGACGUACUUUCACUUCACUAAAACCAAAGAAGAAUAAAAUGAUGAAUUAACUUAAAAGUGGGGAAAAAACGAAAGAUUCUUUAGUAAAAGCCAAUUAGUGCAACCCUUUAACAAAAAAGCCAGGCAAUGGAUUGUAGUAGCAGACAUUAAAGACGGGUUAUCUUCUUUUUUGACCAUUUGAUGAUAAUCUUAACUACACAACUCUACCAGGUCAAAUGACUGAAGAAUCCUAUGCAAAAUGCAACGUGUCUGUAGACACGUACCCACGCUUAUACUCACUAGAAUGAAUGGUGAGUAACAAACAAAUCUUCAUGUAAGGGAACAGUAUAAAAAUGCUCUGCCGCGAAACAUCCAUUUGUGACAUAAAUUCCAAAACGAACUCGGUGAGCUUGUCAUUCAGGUAUUUAGUGACAACAUAAUUAUUAUUCUCUGGUAACUAUUCAUAUUCUUAAAGAAAGGAACUCAAGAUAUUUUUCUUUUCAAUGUGGUGGUCAACUCAUCAUACCUAUAAUAAUAUAUGCUUCAGUUUAUCCCCCGUUGAAAAUUUCAAAUCUCAUGGUUAUUCACUCUCUUUUUGAGCCAUUGGAUUUUGAUGUGGUCCAUGCAUGCAUCUACUCAUUUCAAACACUUUUUCUUACUCAUUUCAAACACUUUUUCUUACUCAUUUCAAAUACUUGCUAGAAUUGUUGUUUGGUUUGACGUAAGAAUCUCUAUCCCUAGCUAUACUAAAGUUUAUAUAAGAUUAAUUGCAUCAUAUGAUUUGCAUACAAUUUGGAUUUGCUGUCGCAAAUCUCAUCGUCUUGUACGGUCAACAACUCAAGUGCUUCAAACUUAGAUGAGAAUCGACAUUGCGGGAUAAGAGAGUAAUAGUUUAUCAAAAAUAAGGAUGCAUUGAUUAAAACAAACGUACACAGUAGGAGAUCGAUAUCAGAAGUCAGAACAAAGAACUUCCGAUUUUUCUUAUUAGCUUAUAGUCUAAACAUAACCAGACAAAGGUCCUACGAAAUACGAAACGAGUCAAAUCGAGAAAGAAAAACACAAAUAACGACAAACAGGGUCGUUAUCUUGCUUCCAUUCUUCAGUAGUUUUAUCUCUUCUAGUGCAGGCUGCAUAAAAAAGCCAAAGUAUAUGUUAAAUACUGUUUCAAUCAUGAGGUCUCACGUUUUAAAAUUUAAAAUGAAAACUUGUAUUCACGUAAUAAAUUUAGACCCAAUAUACAUGGGGCACGAAACAAUAACUUAUUUUGCAUAUGUUCUGGAUUGGGUCUGGUUAGUUUCUAUAUAUGCCACCUUUUGUCAACGUAUAUAUAGCACACUAGCAUAUAAACCAUGAGAGAUUGUUGUGGCUUGAGAGUAAACUUUUGGAAUUAUUAGAAAUGAAAUUUAUUGAAGAAAUAACAAAUAACCAAAUUUACUUGAUCAAGAUGAUGAAGAAAGUUAGGUCUAGUAGGGUGGAUUGGUGGCAGGUUCCUUUGGGGCGUUGCACCUGAAACACUCUGACCUGCUUGCGAAGUUAUGUUCAUUGCAGCCUGACCUAUACAUACAAAACCAAUCAGCUUCUACAAUCUUCUUAUACAUAUACAAACAUGAAUGAAUAUAAAUACUAAUAUUCUAAAAUUGUCCUCUUAGCUUACGAAGCCUGCGCGCGCAUGAAUUUAUGUAUAUAUAUUAUUACAUGGUGGAGACGCCCAUGUACAUUUUCAUGAACCAUGCACAUGAAACAAACAAAUACAAAAAAAAAAAAAAACAAACAAUACCUGGGGCAAAUCCAAUCUCCAGAUUUCCAAGAAGAGCGGCCCAUGCCUCCGCCACCACCACUACUGCUACCAAAUCCAAAAAGGCCACGUCUUGGACCAUCACUCAAGUCCAUAAACCCGGUGGCUAGAGCGGCAGCCGAGCGUGAAGACUCAUCUUUUGCGGCACCACACUUGAAACAGCUGGACCUGCUUGCAAAAUUGUGAGUCCCGCAAUUUCCAAGGUUGCAGUACCAAUCACCGGGUCUCACGUCAGGCCCGGUAUUGAAAGCAAAAGCGUUGCUGAUCGGGCGGCUUGCGAAACUGCUGACUAAGUCGGUAAUGCUUCUCGGUCUGGGCUCUCUGCAUCGUUGGCAUGACUCCCUUCUUUGGAAGUUGAGGUGGCUACACGAUAGGCAGUUCCAGUCUCCUGGCCUAUUCAUCUUCUUCUAAUCCCCCAUAGAUAAACAAAUGACACAAUAUUAAAGGUAUAUAUAUUCACAAGUGUAGCCUAAUAUUUGAUGAUUACCUGGGGAUGUUAGCUGAAAACAGUAAGGAGAGUAGAAGUGAUAUUUUGGUGUUAGAGCGUAUAAGUGUGAUAUGUCCCCAUAUAUAUAUACAUCGGCAAAGCAAAAGGUUCUUCUUUAUCAACCGGGAACAUAUUUUGAAGUGAAAAUAGGGUUUCAAAUGGUUUUAACUUUCUUAUUUUUGUUUCAGCUUUAAUGCAUUUCCUUUAGAGCAUCUCCAAAAUGGAACUCUAUUUUGAAGUUUCCAAAACUUUAUAUUUGAAGUUUCAAUGUGUUCUUCUCCAAAAGUAAAACUUCAAACCUAACUUCAAAAUUAUUUAUAUUUUACACUAUGAUCCUUAUGUUUGUCAUAGUUGAUGUAAAUUCAUAAAACUUCUAUAAAUAACUAAUACAUAUAUAUAAAUAUUACAAAAAUAUUAAUUAAAAAAAAAUCUUACACUAAAAUAUAAAAUUAUAAAUAAAAGUACAUAAUUAAAUAUUAAACUGCAAGCAAAUAUUACAUUAUUGCAUAAAAUUAUUUCCAUAAUGCUCCCAUAUAUGAUCAACUAUUUCGAAGUAAGAAAUGAUUCUCUUUAUUUUUUAUUUGUAGAUUACGAGCCAAAAAUUGUUGAAACCGGAUAUCCUCAUAAUAUGUCUGCUGAUAGUUUGAUAUCAUCAAACGAAAAAAAUCCUUGAUCUUUUAAACGAAAGUACAACAAGCAGGGAAAAAGGUCAUGAGAUGAUUGAAUUACGACUGCAAAAUGAAGCAAAAAAGUUAGCUUUUAAAGAAAUAAAAGAGGAAAAUAAAAUAUUGCUAAAAAACUUAGCUUCUAUCGAUGACGUUAAUAUUCGUGAAUACAUUCGAUCUGAACAAGAAAGAAUCAUACGAAAAAUGCGUCAAGAGCAACAACAACAAUCAUCUUCGGUUACACAAAAUUUGUUGAACAAUAUUUUGGAGAUUUUGGAGGUUCCGGAGCAAAUUUACCAGACUAUUAGUGUUGUUAUAAUAUUUAAAUUUGAGUAAUAAUUAUGUCUUCAUGUGUCUUUUUAAUAAGUUUUUAUUAUGGUUUUUUGUAAUAUUCUUGUUGUUUAAUUCUAGUUUUAAAAUAUUAUAAAUCUUGUUUUAAUUUUUUUUAUUUAAUUUCAUGUGUAAAACUUAAGUUUAUAUAACAAAUUUGAAAUAUUUAUGAGAUAUAAAAGUUUUAAGGAUUAAAACAAUAAACAAAAAAAAUAUUUAAGAAUUAUAAAUAUGAUGUAUAAUUGUAAGGACCAAAAUGCAAAUAAAAAGAUGAAACUUCAAAUUUGAAGUUUUGAAAAGUGAAACUCUAUAUUUGGAGUUUCACUCUUCAAAACUUCAAAUUUGAAGUUUUGAAGUUCCUUUUUGGAGAGCAAAAAACUCUAUAUUUGGAGUUAUAGAGUUUCUUUUGGAGAUGCUCUUAGAGUUGGGUUUCUCCGUAAACUACGUUUUCCCAAAAGAAACAAAAGAUUAUCCAUACAUAUCGAGGACUUUAAAAUAUCAAUUUAAGACCCCACUAGUUUAAAGCUUCCAAUAUCAGCCGUUUUAUUAUGCUUGUGCUUCACAAAAGUUAUUACAUAUAUAGUGAUAAAAUCAAUAUUCACAUAGUUGUCAGAUGUGUAUUAUCAUAUACAUCAAUAUUAUACUCAUUUUUAGACACCCAAUUGUUUUUAAAUUGAUGACUAUAGUCUAUAUAUGUAGUUUGCAUCAUAUACUGCGUGUAUGAGUUGUAAACAAUCGAAAACAUGUUUGAAACUUAUGUUGAUAAUCCAAAUUGCGUAACUUUCUUAAAAUCCGCCGAUUCAACUAGGUUCAUGAUCAUGGGUGGAUAAUAAGGUCUCGUGCGUGUGUCAGUAGUAAAAAGGAUGCCUCAAGAAGAAAAGAAAAAUCUAAAGCAAAAGUUGCAUGGCAACAGUUUCAAGAACGUAUUGCUUCCAUAUAUAAACCGCGGAAAUUAAACAUUAAAAGAAUAUUUACUUCUAGUAUUUUCAGUAAGUGUUAUCUCCAUUUUUUUUCUAGCAGUAUCGAGUUACUCGUGUAUCCCAUCAGAACGUGUUCGCGAUUCUCAGCCAAAACCCAAGAAAACAACAUCAAAUAUAUAUAUAUANNNNNNNNNNNNNNNNNNNNNNNNNNNNNNNNNNNNNNNNNNNNNNNNNNNNNNNNNNNNNNNNNNNNNNNNNNNNNNNNNNNNNNNNNNNNNNNNNNNNUUUUUUUUUUUUUUUUUGAUAUUUCAUAUAUAAAAAACAUAUUUUUGAGACCACAAUGUUUACAGUACUUUGAUUACCUCCACAAAAUAUUCUAAAUAAAUCAUCCCCUGUAUAUUAAUCAUGGAGCAUUAUAACAUGUUUUCGUAGCCAAGUGUCAUCACGAGAAUGAUUCUUAGAAUUGUUAGAAAAAUAAGUUGGUCCAUAUAAACAUAUAUUAUGUUUUUCAUUAAACUAACUAUUAAAUUAAUUAAUAGUGUACAAAAUAAUAUAUUUUUUUUCUUAAAUAAAAGCUACGGAUUUACCUAAUAUGGUAAACAUAUAUAUGACAAUUAAUGAUUAUGAAUAAUACAUAUUUGAUUAAAAAAAAGUCUAACAUCUCUCACUUUUGUUUAAUUUUAUACUAUUAAAAGAAAUUAAACAAUCACAUUAAGCAUAUAAUAAAAAAAAUUAGAUUUUUUCUUAUACGUUAUAUUUUGAAUUUUUAAAAACGAGUAUAAAUUACUAAAUGGUAAAAGUCUCACAUUGAAAAUUUUGUGAUUAAUGGUUUUAUUUUAUUUUUUCUUCAAGCAAGAUACAAAUGAUCAUAUAUCUUAGGUGUGGGCGUUCAGAAACAUGUUCGAGUUUGUAUCGGAUAUUUCAGUAUAAAGGUAUAGAACCCGUUCGAGUAUUUCUACACUUCGAGUCGGGUUCGGGUAUUUUAUGUUCGGGUUCAGAUAUUUUGGGUCGGGUUUGGAUAUUUAAAUUUUGAAGAAAAAAUAAAUAAAUUAUUCAUUUUUUAAGUUUAUGUAUUUAAAAUAUAUUUAACUUAACCAGUUUUCUAAUUUUUAAAAGGUUAAACUAUUAAAAGGUUUGGAGACAAAACUUUAAAAAUAGAAAGACACUAAUUUAGUUGUUGUUUUUAGAUUUUAGAUUCAAUUUUUGUUAAUGCAAGAAACAAGAGUUUGAUAUGUAUUUUAAGUGAAUAGCAAAUGAUUUUGUCCAUAAUUAUAUGUAUAUUAUCUAAUUUUGAGCAAUAAACAUCAUUAAUAUAAAUAUUUUGAGUAAAAUGAGAGAAAUAAACUAUAAAUAUAAGGUUAAGUAUACUUAUGUUUGGUUAUCUUCGGAUAUCCAUUCGGGUUUGGAUAUUACUCGUUCAGAUUCAGAUAUUACCCGAACGGGUGAAAUAAGUAAUUUUUUUUGUUGUUCUAGAAUUAGAUGAUUUUUAGACUGAGCUGAUGAAUAUAUACUAGACAUAUGUUUAUAUUUCAAGUCUGCACGCAUAUUCUAUAACAGCUUGAUAUAUUAGAUUUGAACAAAGUUUGCCGGUGAUUUUGUUUUCAAAAUUUUGAUUCUUAGAUAUGAAUCUGGAAUAAAACUAAUUUUUACAUAUGUCCAUUUUUUAAAUUGACACAUAUGUAAUUCACCGAAUUCAUAGAAUAAGUUGAAAAAAAAAACUUAACUCAUAUCAAUGAAAUAAAGAACAGAACGAAAUCACAAUUUUAUAGAGGUAGAAAAUGAAAUCAGUUAUAGAUAGUCAAUAGUAAACAAAUUGGGAGAAGAAAACCUAAUCCUCUUUCGUCAUCAUACAAUCAAUGUUGCCUAUUUGGUUUCGGUGAUUUGUGUCAGCCGCAAAACUUAAUUUUCUUUUGUGCAUAUGAAGUCUUAAAAAUAAUUAAAAUGAGAUGUAAUACGUUCACUCUUCAACAACGAUGAUAUAUUAAAGAGACCAACAUUACACACCCUCACUCCUAGAUUCGCCUUUAUAUAUUUAUUUUGAAAAUUUUCAAUUUGUUUCUUUUACUAGUAAGAAACCAAACGAUGUAUCGCAGCGUGUGUGUUUCAUCAAGCCUCUUUUCUGUUGAGUAAUUUCCAAAUUUGAUGAUAACAAAACGUUACAAAAGUAUUUGCAUGGUUUGGGCUAUUUCUAGAUACAAAAUUACUUGCAGAAGGUCACACACUGUUACGUUAGAACUCUGAAACAUAGAUCUCGAAACUAAAUUUCAAGUUUUAGUUUGAACAAUCAAAUUGGUGUUUAGUUUGAACAAUCAAAUUGGUAGUAUUGGGUUUGGUGCAUGAUUUAUGUCGACCCUUUUGGAUAAGGCCCAUAUUGUUCAAUGUGACGGAUACACCAAGUUAUUAACACUGAAUACAUCUGUGUACACACUCAUUCUCCUACCAUGGAUUAAAAAACAUAAAGUCGAAAAUAGUAAUGAAAACGAAUGUAUUGGUAAGCCAUAAAUGAGUUGGUUGUUCGUUUUAGUUUUCUCUUAAGAAAAGUCCACACGAAAGUUACGAUUGCCAUAUCUUCACUGUCCCUUUUGGUUUGAUUUUUUGAAACUUUUCUCGAUCGAAGUGAAAAAUUUCAUGGCCACAUGACACCUAAAUCCCGUCAAAACAUGCUGGAGACCGUCCUUCAUUAAUGGUAAGUUGAUUUGGAUAGACAUAAUUGAUUUUUAAAUAGGGAAGUUACCAUAACUCUAAGAGAUUGAUCAAAAAGAACAUACUCUCAUGUACAGAGAUGUUUGGUCCAUCGCAUUACGGAUAUGUUCUUUGGAAUCGACUGAUGGAUAGAAAAUGGACAUGCACCAAGCUGGGAGAACACAUCAAAAAGUCUCAAGUAAAACAGAGGAAAAUUAUAAACACUCUCCAACACAUAAGGAGUAUGUUAACGAAUAAAGAUAGGGCUAUGCAAACUCUUUGUGCAAUAUUCAAAACCACGUGCCGACUUAUUAUUGAUUGAUGCUUUGUACAUGAAAUUGAUCUCCAACAUUCUCUAUUCUCUUAUAUUAUAAGUUAUACACUCUCGUAUAUAUUAAUCUUGGAGCAUUACAACAUGUUUUCGUAGCCACGUAUCAUUACAAGAAUUAUUCUUAGAAUUGUUAGAAAAACAAGUUGGUCCAUAUAAACAUAUACUAUGUUUUUUAUUAAGCUAACUAUCAAAUUAAUUAGUAGUAUAAUAAAAGCUACGGAAUUACCUAAUAUGAUUAACAUAUGUAUGACAAUUAAUGAUUAUGAAUAAUACAUAUUUGAUAACAAUUUUUCUAACCUCUCUCUCUUUUAUUUAAUUUUAUACUAUUAAAAGAAAUUAAACAAUCACAUUAAGCAUAUAAGAAGAAUUUACAUUUUUCUUAUAUGUUAUAUUUUGAAUUUUUAAAAACGACUAUAAAUUACUAAAAAUGGUAAAAGUCUCACAUUGAAAAUUCUGUAAUCAAUGGGUUUAACUUUUUUUUUGUUCAAGCAAGAUACAAAUGAUCAUAUAUCGUAGGGGUGGGUGUUCGGAUAUACGUUCGGGUUCGUAUCGGAUAUUUCAGUAUAAAGGUAUAGAACACGUUCGAGUAUUUCUACACUUCGAGUCGGGUUCAAGUAUUUUAUGUUCGGAUUCGGAUAUUUUGGAUCGGGUUUGGAUAUUUAAAUUUUGAAGAAAACAUAAAUAAAUUAUUCAUUUUUUAAUUUUUUGUAUUUAAAAUAUAUUUACCUUAGCCGGAUUUCUAAUUUUUAAAAGGUUAAACUAUUAAAAGGUUUGGAGAUAAAACUUUAAAAAUAGAAAGACACUAAUUUAGUUGUUGUUUUGAAAUUUUAGAUGCAACUUUUCUUAAUGCAAGAAACAAGAGCUUGAUAUGUAUAUUAAGUGAGUAGCAAAUGAUUUUGUCCAUAAUUAUAUGUAUAUUAUCUAAUUUUGAGCAAUAAGCAUCAUUAAUAUAAAUAUUUUGAGUAAAAUGAGAGAAGUAAACUAGAAAUAUAGGGUUAGUAUACUUAUGUUUUGUUAUCUUCGGAUACAGUGGUGGAGCCAGCCUAGUUUUUUGAGGAGGGUCAAACUCUUAAUUUGUAUAUAUUACAUGGGUCAACAUACCCACAAUUUGUAAAAUUUUCCUUAUUUUUAGUACAAAUUCAUGUAAUUUUUUUUUAUGUUUUAAAAUCAUGUGGGUCAUUUGACCACCCUCCUAACCAGCUACCUCCGCCACUGUUCGGAUAUCCAUUCGGGUUCGGAUUCAGAUAUUACCCGAACGGGUGAAAUAAGUAAUUUGUUUUGUUGUUCUAGAAUUAGAUAAUUUUUAGACCGGGCUGGUGAACAUAUACUAGACAGACGUUUAUAUUUCGAGUCUGCACAUAUAUUAUAUAACAGCUUGAUAUAUUAGAUUUGAAUACAGUUUCCGGUGAUUUUAUUUUUAAAAAUUUAAUUUUUAGAUAUGUAUCGGGAAUGAAACUAAUUUUUACAUAUGUCCAUUUUUUAAAUUGACACUUAUGUAAUUCACCGAGUUCAUAGAAUAAGUUUUUUUUUUGUCAUCAGAAUAAGUUAAAAAAAAAAACUUAACUCAUAUCAAUGAAUGAUAUGAAACAAAGAUCAGAACGAAAACACAAUUUUAUAAAAGUGAAAAAUUAAAUCACUUAUGAAAAGUCAAUAGUAAACAAAUUGGGAGAAGAAAACCUAAUCUUCUUUUAUCAUUAUACAAUCGAUGUUGCCUAUUUAGUUUUGGUGAUUUGUGUCAGCCGUAAAACUUAAUUUCUUUUAGUGCGUAUGAAAUCUUAAAAAUAAUUAAAAUGAGAUGUAAUAUGUUUCCUCUUCAACAACGAUGAUAAUUUCCUUUAGUGCGUGUAAAGAACUAUUAAAACAAUUUCCUUUAGUGCGUAUAAAGAACUAUUUUUCGCUCACUUAUUUAGUUUAAUAGAAGGAUAUCAAAUGUUUUUAAUACAAUAUCAUAAUUAUACGAAACAUAUGGUCAUUGUUUUAAUUAUAUGGAGCCUGUCGGUCCAUUAAUAUAACAAAACUGUGAGAGGAUGUAUAACUAUAAACUUUCAUUAAAUGGUCGUUUUGUUAAUUGAUUGAUGUCAACUGUAUAUAUGUGCGUUUCCUUACCCUAAAUUCGAAGUGAUAACUGCAUAUUUUUUUGAUACAGGAGAUGAUUUUCUUUCGUACGUAACUUUAAGUAUAAUGUAACUACACCGAACAGAAAAACAGGUGAAAUUAAACACACAUGUCCACACAUGGACAGAAGGAGCAUUUAAAGUAAAGGAAAGUGGUGGUUAGAGAGUAUGUGAUAUAAUUAAUCGGCCCAAAUAGAUUGGUAAGUGUUAGCCGCCAUGCUAAUAACUUCAACCUCAGAUCUUUCUACUAAAACCAUUUUAUUAUAAAUUCUACGUACACUCCCACUUCAUCUCCUCAAAUUCAUCAAAACACACUACAAGAAAAUGUUGACUCGUCUCCCUUUGAUAUGUUUUCUUGUUUCAGUCACGGCCAUUGCGGCUGACUUAACACCGGAGCGUUAUUGGAACACUGCCUUACCAAACACUCCCAUGCCAAACUCUCUCCGUCAUCUUUUCACGCCAGGUUACUGUAAAAUCUUUUUACUUUAUAUAUGUUUUUUCUAUGUGUCCCAAGCUGAUUGGUUACACAAUCUCUGAUAGUUUGUGAUUAUGUAUGUUAAGAACAUCUCCAAACCAUCUUUAUAUAUGUUUGUAUGAACAUUUAUAAACAAAUUUGUUUCAACAUACACUAUAUGUUCUCUUUAAAUGUAAACAUUUUUUUUUCUCUGUAUGUCAAAAUAAAAUUUAUUUAUUUUUCAGUAUAAAUAAAUAUUAAUUUAGAAAAUACACUAAAGUAAAUAUUUACAAUUCAAAAAAUAUUUUUAUUUUAUUUUAGAGGAAAAUAUAACAAAAUAUAUAUUGUAGAUUUCACUGAUGAGAAGAGCACCGACGUCCAAGUAGGGAAAGGAGGCGUGAACGUUAACGCCGGAAAAGGCAAACCCGGCGGAGGAACCGCCGUUAACGUUGGAAAAGGAGGUGUGUACGUGGACACAGGCAAGGGCAAGGGAACACACGUGAGCGUUAGCGGCGGAAAAGGUCCUGGAGGAGGCGUUGGAGUCCACACCGGACAGCCUGGAAAGAGAACCGACGUAGGAGUUGGUAAAGGCGGAGUUAUAGUGCACACGCGACACAAGGGCAGGCCGGUCUACGUCGGUGUAACGCCAGGACCAAACCCUUUUGUGUAUAACUAUGCAGCGAGCGAGACUCAGCUCCACGACGAUCCCAAAGCGGCUCUCUUCUUCUUGGAGAAGGAUAUGGUUCCUGGAAAAGCUAUGAACCUCAGGUUUAAUGCGGAGGAUGGUUACGAUGGUAAAACGGCGUUCUUGCCACGUGGGGAGGCGGAAACGGUGCCGUUUCAGUCGGAGAAGUUUUCGGAGAUUUUGAAUACUUUCUCGGUGAAACCAGGUUCGGAGGAAGCUGAGAUGAUGAAGAAGACUAUUGAGGAGUGUGAAGCGAAAAGAGUUGGGGGAGAGGAGAAGUAUUGUGCGACUUCUUUGGAGUCUAUGGUCGAUUUUAGCGUUUCUAAACUUGGCAAAUAUCACGUCCGUGCUGUUUCCACUGAGGUAACAAACACUUCUCUUCUUUUUAUGGUUUAUUAUUACGUUUAGGUUUGACAUAAAUCAAAUAAAGUCAAAACUGAAUGAAAUUAAUAUUUGUAAUUAGGUUUGGUUACGUUUGAUUAGGUUAAAUUUGAUGAGGUUUGGGUUGUAUACUUGUGUCUACUUUAUCUCCGGUUAGGAUUCGGUUUUAGCUAGUAAAUGAUUCAUUCAACAUCGUACAUCUUGUUUGCUUAAAAUACUAUAUUAUAGAAGAGAAAUAAAAGUUAAAAACUACUUUUUAUUUUAUAUUUGGGUUUGAGUUUAGUGAUUAGAAUUUAGGGUUUAAUAUAAAGUAGAAGGCAAGAUUUUGAUAAAAUUUUAAAGUUUGGAGUAACUUAAUCAUUUCACUCUUUAAUUAAUGUUAUUUUUGAGAUUUUUUUUGUUUGUGUGCUAUUUUUUCAUAAUUGUUUUUUUGUGUUAUUUAAAUCAUGUGCUCUGUAUAUAAGUAAGUGAACAUAAAAAAAAAGAAAUUUAAGUCUGGUAUGAUUUGGUUUUACACUUUUACUUGGUUCAGUUUAGUUUCAUUUGAUUUAUAUGUCCACGCCUUGCUAAUACUCGAGUUAAUUGAUGUAACCUUGGUUACUACAGGUGGUUGAGAAGAAUGCACCGAUGCAAAAGUACAAAAUCGCAGCACCCGGAAUAAAGAAGUUGUCGGACGACAAGUCAGUGGUGUGUCACAAACAGAAGUACCCAUUCGCGGUGUUCUACUGCCACAAGGCGAUGAUGACGAGCGUGUAUGCGGUUCCACUCGAAGGAGAGAACGGUCUGCGGGCUAAAGCGGUUGCGGUUUGCCACAAGAACACCUCGGCUUGGAACCCAAACCACUUGGCCUUCAAAGUGCUUAAGGUGAAGCCUGGGACUGUUCCGGUCUGCCAUUUCCUCCCUGAGACCCAUGUUGUUUGGUUCAGCUAUUAGAUAGAUAUGCUUUCAUAUAUUGUGGCUUAUGUAAUAAAUAAUAAUGCCGUCCCUUCCAUAUAGUCAAAGAAUUAAGACAUAAGUUUUCACUUUGCAUGGUUUGUCUUCUGUGGCCUGAUUCAUUCUUCUUUUGCAAGAAUAUACUGUAUGAUAAUAAAACUAGUCUUCAAAUAUUAAAAGAGCUCGUCCGUAGAAAACGGUAAUUUUCGUAAUGGGCCCAACGUUGCCAGAGUAACAUGAAAAGACCCCAAAGAAAAGAGAAAAUGUCAGAAGUGGGAUGUGAACCCACGCCCUCUUACGAGGACCAGAACUUGAGUCUGGCGCCUUAGACCACUCGGCCACCCUGACUGUUGUAAUUUAUUUGAAAUUACGGAUAAAUCUAAUCAAACAUAAGUAUAAAAUAAUAUAUUGAAAGAGCCUAAAACAUCUAGAAUGAAUGAACACAACUGAAUCAAACAUAUACAAAGAAACUUAACUUACCAUUCUGCUCCCAAGUCCAAAACCCUCUUAACUAAAUCAAAAGCUUGGUCUAUCAACCAACAUCCAAAAUAGACGAAACGAUGUUGUCUCCUAUAAAUGCUUUUACCACAUCUCAAAACAUUGGUUUUUAGCAGAGAGCUGAGUUCCAAGUCACUCUUUGUCUCAUCCUGUUUUUUGGCACUAGACUUCCACAGUACAUGGUUGGUUUCUUAUACUGUAGUAUCAAUUCAUUUAACGUAUGGUCAAAUAUGAAAAUAUCUCCAUCUCUGGUCCACUUUAUCUCAAAACGUAGUUUGAAUCACAUACCACAAGUCGAGUAAAAUCCUUGUACAUUUGCUAUUGUUUUUUUUAAUGAAAUUUUCACUUGACCAUAUGGUGCGUGUAUGAUGAAGUCAUCCUAAUGAAUAUCACCCACUUGUAGUAGCAAUGUAAAGCUAAAUACAAUACCAAGCCAUUGAGUCUCUUCUUUGAUAAAAGCUUUACAGAAGGUUGUUGGUGUAUUUACGAGGGAACAGAAUUGUUUUGAGACUUAAAUGAGCGUUGGGCCUUGGCCCAUUUGGAGUCUCCACUUCACUAUUACCAGUUCAAAUAUGUAAUGUGUACUUCCAAAAAAUAUAAAUUAUAAAGUAAUGAUGAUUUAUUAUGCAUUUUGAAAUAAAAUGUAUAUAAUUGAAUUUUGCCAUACAUUGUGAUUUCUUGUUAAGCUUUUGUAAACUGAUGAUCGUGUAUUAUUAUAAUCAUAUACUAGAUGUAAUUUAAAUGGUUUUAGUGAUUGUCAAAAAAAAAUUGGUUUUGGUUUGCCAUGUAGUAUUCCUCGAACCAACCACAUAAACUAACGACUCAAGAGUGACAAAGGAGACAUGUUUUAACGGAAAACGACUAGAACUUAUUACAGAAUAUGCCAGCUAACAAGCGCUCAGCUGGUUAAUACUGAACAAGAGAUGAGACUCGAGAGAUGAGCCCUCGAUUGAAGGAGCCAAUGACACUAUGGACUCAAGUACAUUGCUCUUAAAAUUGCAUCUGAUAGCAAACCAACUUUCAAAAUCCUGCUUCGGUUCAGCCUCGGGUUUGGCGAGUGUUGUAUGAUUUGCAGUCUGGACAUUUCUGAGCCACCACAUGGUACUGCACCUCCGAUUUUUUCCCACAGUCGUUGCAGAGGAUCUGAACCUGUUUUGUGUCCAUCAAAUGAUUUAGUUAUAUAUAAUCUGAUGAUUUUGAAUUCUUUACUUGGUUGAGCCUGAGGUGUAAUAAGAGUAAGUUUAGACUAACCAUUUUGUUCUGGUAUGGUUCUGGCAUUGGUGUAGCAGCAAUCUCCACGUCAAAUUUCUCCCACACCUUUGACAUGUCGCAUACAGAUUUUGAGCAAAGCGGGCACGCGUAUCUGCAGAGCACAGUUUACAGUGUUGUCAGUUGAAAGACAGCUACAAAUAACAACCCUGAGUUAUUUAUUACACUUACUGGUAAUGUUCUCUCAUUUCCUCCAAACACUUCUGAUGGAUGGUGUGUCCGCAGGGCAAAACUGUUACAUCGUUCCUUGAUUCAAACAGGUACUACAACAAAACCAUUAUUGCCGUUUUGUUUAGAGGGAUGCUCAAUUAGUGGAAGAAAAAUUGAAAGAAAAGAUACCUCAAAACAAAUGGGGCAGUCGUGAUGCAUUGCUCCUUCAACACAAGGGUGGCUGUUCUUGAGAAGGAUUGAGUAACAACAGCCUGGUUGAUAGUCAGAUUGUACAAGUCAAGAGAUUUAGUGGUGGCCAGCGUAAAAAAGUUCGAGGUUAUCUGAUGCAGAAAUUGGCUUACCACACUUGUAACAGUGAAAGAAAUUUUCAUGUCCGCCGAUUCUGGAACAAAAGAAGUAAAAAAGUUCCAAGUUAUGAACAAAUAUCUAACGUGAUAGAGUGAACAAAUCUUGUUGUAUGUUAAAGACGAGUCCAAGAACGUACCUGCAGAUUCCACAGCCGUCGCAGUGAUACUGCUUUUUAGAUGUCUGGAAACAAGAUAGAACAUAAUGGUUAACCAGCAGUAAUAGAGAAGCAAGAAAGAGAAAAUGAUCCAACAAUCAAGCUUAGGAAUAAAUUGUCUCAGGAAACUCACAUCAUCAUCGUAGAGCUUGCAGGCUUCACAGAAGUACUUCCCCAUGCACACUCCGCAGUUGGUACAAUUUUGGCGAACCUGGUGAAAACAGAGAAAACAGAGUUAAAUCUUCAAUAGAGUUGAGAAAAUGUUUGAUACCAUCCUAACUGAAACUUCUCAUUACUAAAAGCAGUAAACGUUCAGAAAAAGCAUAGAGUUUAGAACACACCUCUUGUUCAGUGCCACAGAGUAAGCAAAUAACCUGUGAAGACGAAGAUAGAGAUUCUGGAAUCAAGCAUAGAAGAAUAAACAUAGAGAAAACAAGGUAUUACAAACAACUUUACCUGUUCAACUUUCUGGCGAGGAAUAUCAUGACUCUGUUUCGGAUCUGCACUUAUAUUGUUCUGCUUCCAAGACAUGAUGAUUACACAUGUCAGCUUACAAAUCUAAUAAGAGUGAAAUCUAAAACCUGAAAUAAGAAACUCUACCUUUGCCUCAUAAUGACAGUGAUGGCAACCAAAGAUCUCAUCACAGCAAGGAGAUCUAAUGCAACACCUUCUUCUGUAAUGAGGACAUCUGCAAGAACAUUGGGAGAAAUUAGUUCAAGAGACACGCUCAGCUCUGGGGGAAUUCAAUGAGGAGGCAAAAAUUACCCAUGCUCCAUUAGUCCUCUGUCAAGGACUUCUUUUAAUGAUGACUCUGCCGCCUCGAGUUCGAGAAUCAACGACUCAGUUUCUUCAUUGCGUGAAUGAGGGCUGAGCAUCUCACUCUUCUCUCGGUCAGUCUUCUGUGGCUGCUCAACGAAAUGGUUGAAAUGUACCCUCUCCAUUACGAACUAUCUGUGAAUGAUACUGGCUAGCUGAUGGAAAAGCUUAUGUAACCUGCAAGCAAGAAAAGAUUUAGAACACAUAUUCAUCAUUUCCAAGUAAUAUGUCACCUGAAAAAACUGGAUGAACUGUUGCUUCCAUCUACAUUGCAGUAGACCAAUCCAAUCAUCACCAAGACAAUCCAGUUACGAAACGGCUCCAAUAAGCUUUCUCCAAGAGGCAAGUAACAUCAAAACAAGAAGAUUUACAAAGUAUAAAAACUAAACACAGCCCUCUUGGUUGAUGGAGCCUUCGUACAGAAAGAAAAGCUUAGCUCACUUCAGUUCUUGAAAUUCUGGGAAAACAUAUUCGGUUUAACCGGAUAUCCCCAACCUAUUGUAAAAGCAAGGUAAAGACUAUCAAACAACGUUUGGGACUGACGUAAAAAAAAUUGGAAUAACCGGGUUAAAAAAGAUGGGUCGGUGUCCAAAGAGGACAGACCUACCUCCCAUUGCCACUCUGCACCAAUAUUACUUCAGUAUGAAUCAGAAUUUUUUACUAAAGGAAUUAAAAGCCUGAAGAGUACUCUUUA
RNAcentral lists this long non-coding RNA (36551 nucleotides) under Brassica napus (rape). RNAcentral describes it as "long non-coding RNA (BNAP_LNC012389)". The record is from RNAcentral. Lineage: Eukaryota; Viridiplantae; Streptophyta; Magnoliopsida; Brassicales; Brassicaceae.